CUGCAACAUGAUCGCGCCGGUGCCCGGAAACGGGUUAAUCGGGAAUGUGGUGCGGGCGUGAUAAGCGCCCCAAUCCACGGCUGUCCCUGCAACUGUAAGCGGAUAGCGCGAUGCACUGGCCCCAAAAGGGCGACCACUGGAGCGAUCCGGGAAGGUGUGCAUCGUGCUGCGACCCGCGAGCCAGGAGACCGGCCGGCGCAUGGUCGCUCUG
RNAcentral lists this non-coding RNA (211 nucleotides) under Sphingobium sp. The record is from RNAcentral. Lineage: Bacteria; Pseudomonadati; Pseudomonadota; Alphaproteobacteria; Sphingomonadales; Sphingobiaceae.